GCAAGUCGAGCGAUUUACUUCGGUAAAGAGCGGCGGACGGGUGAGUAACGCGUGGGUAACCUGCCCUAUACACACGGAUAACGUACCGAAAGGUACGCUAAUACGAGAUAACAUAUUUUUAUCGCAUGGUAAGAAUAUCAAAGCUCCGGCGGUAUAGGAUGGACCCGCGUCUGAUUAGCUAGUUGGUAAGGUAACGGCUUACCAAGGCGACGAUCAGUAGCCGACCUGAGAGGGUGAUCGGCCACAUUGGAACUGAGACACGGUCCAAACUCCUACGGGAGGCAGCAGUGGGGAAUAUUGCACAAUGGGCGAAAGCCUGAUGCAGCAACGCCGCGUGAGCGAUGAAGGCCUUCGGGUCGUAAAGCUCUGUCCUCAAGGAAGAUAAUGACGGUACUUGAGGAGGAAGCCCCGGCUAACUACGUGCCUGCAGCCGCGGUAAUACGUAGGGGGCUAGCGUUAUCCGGAAUUACUGGGCGUAAAGGGUGCGUAGGUGGUUUCUUAAGUCAGAGGUGAAAGGCUACGGCUCAACCGUAGUAAGCCUUUGAAACUGAGAAACUUGAGUGCAGGAGAGGAGAGUAGAAUUCCUAGUGUAGCGGUGAAAUGCGUAGAUAUUAGGAGGAAUACCAGUUGCGAAGGCGGCUCUCUGGACUGUAACUGACACUGAGGCACGAAAGCGUGGGGAGCAAACAGGAUUAGAUACCCUGGUAGUCCACGCCGUAAACGAUGAGUACUAGCUGUCGGAGGUUACCCCCUUCGGUGGCG
RNAcentral lists this ribosomal RNA (762 nucleotides) under uncultured bacterium. Its description in RNAcentral is "bacterial SSU rRNA". It matches the Rfam family "Bacterial small subunit ribosomal RNA", at positions 57 to 848 of the family's 1533-position model. The record is from RNAcentral.